GGAGUUAGCCGGUGCUUCUUCUGUGAGUGAUGUCCUUCCUGCCGGCUAUUAACCCGCAGGCCUUCUUCCUCACUGAAAGUGCUUUACAACCCGAAGGCCUUCUUCACACACGCGGCAUGGCUGGAUCAGGGUUGCCCCCAUUGUCCAAUAUUCCCCACUGCUGCCUCCCGUAGGAGUCUGGGCCGUGUCUCAGUCCCAGUGUGGCUGAUCAUCCUCUCAGACCAGCUACGGAUCGUCGCCUUGGUGAGCCGUUACCUCACCAACCAGCUAAUCCGACAUAGGCUCAUCCGAUAGCGCGAGGCCCGAAGGUCCCCCGCUUUCCCCCGUAGGGCGUAUGCGGUAUUAGCCUGGGUUUCCCCAGGUUAUCCCCCACUACCGGGCAGAUUCCUAUGCAUUACUCACCCGUCCGCCGCUCGCCACCAGGGAGCAAGCUCCCCGUGCUGCCGCUCGACUUGCAUGUGUUAGCGUCGCCGCCACGCGUCAUCUGAGCAGAAUACAACUACUCGA
RNAcentral lists this ribosomal RNA (507 nucleotides) under uncultured bacterium. Its description in RNAcentral is "partial 16S ribosomal RNA". The record is from RNAcentral.